RNAcentral lists this ribosomal RNA (467 nucleotides) under uncultured bacterium. RNAcentral's name for it is "partial 16S ribosomal RNA". It matches the Rfam family "Bacterial small subunit ribosomal RNA", at positions 28 to 507 of the family's 1533-position model. The record is from RNAcentral.
GACGAACGCUGGCGGCGUGCUUAACACAUGCAAGUCGAACGGAAAGGCCUCUUUCGGGGGGUACUCGAGUGGCGAACGGGUGAGUAACACGUGAGUAACCUGCCCUUGACUUUGGGAUAACUUCAGGAAACUGGGGCUAAUACCGGAUAGGAGCUCCUGCUGCAUGGUGGGGGUUGGAAAGUUUCGGCGGUUGGGGAUGGACUCGCGGCUUAUCAGCUUGUUGGUGGGGUAGUGGCUUACCAAGGCUUUGAUGGGUAGCCGGCCUGAGAGGGUGACCGGCCACAUUGGGACUGAGAUACGGCCCAGACUCCUACGGGAGGCAGCAGUGGGGAAUAUUGCACAAUGGGUGGAAGCCUGAUGCAGCAACGCCGUGUGCGGGAUGACGGCCUUCGGGUUGUAAACCGCUUUCGCUCAUGACGAAGCUUUGUGUGACGGUAGUGGGUAAAGAAGCACCGGCUAACUACGUG